Molecule: ribosomal RNA, 2907 nt
Filed under: Salmonella enterica subsp. enterica serovar Derby
Lineage: Bacteria; Pseudomonadati; Pseudomonadota; Gammaproteobacteria; Enterobacterales; Enterobacteriaceae
Also listed under: 2 other names
Description: 23S ribosomal RNA
Rfam family: Bacterial large subunit ribosomal RNA
Source: RNAcentral
GGUUAAGCGACUAAGCGUACACGGUGGAUGCCCUGGCAGUCAGAGGCGAUGAAGGACGUGCUAAUCUGCGAUAAGCGCCGGUAAGGUGAUAUGAACCGUUAUAACCGGCGAUUUCCGAAUGGGGAAACCCAGUGUGAUUCGUCACACUAUCAUUAACUGAAUCCAUAGGUUAAUGAGGCGAACCGGGGGAACUGAAACAUCUAAGUACCCCGAGGAAAAGAAAUCAACCGAGAUUCCCCCAGUAGCGGCGAGCGAACGGGGAGGAGCCCAGAGCCUGAAUCAGCAUGUGUGUUAGUGGAAGCGUCUGGAAAGGCGCGCGAUACAGGGUGACAGCCCCGUACACAAAAGCGCAUGUGCUGUGAGCUCGAUGAGUAGGGCGGGACACGUGGUAUCCUGUCUGAAUAUGGGGGGACCAUCCUCCAAGGCUAAAUACUCCUGACUGACCGAUAGUGAACCAGUACCGUGAGGGAAAGGCGAAAAGAACCCCGGCGAGGGGAGUGAAAAAGAACCUGAAACCGUGUACGUACAAGCAGUGGGAGCACAGGUUUACCUGUGUGACUGCGUACCUUUUGUAUAAUGGGUCAGCGACUUAUAUUCUGUAGCAAGGUUAACCGUAUAGGGGAGCCGCAGGGAAACCGAGUCUUAAUUGGGCGUUAAGUUGCAGGGUAUAGACCCGAAACCCGGUGAUCUAGCCAUGGGCAGGUUGAAGGUUGGGUAACACUAACUGGAGGACCGAACCGACUAAUGUUGAAAAAUUAGCGGAUGACCUGUGGCUGGGGGUGAAAGGCCAAUCAAACCGGGAGAUAGCUGGUUCUCCCCGAAAGCUAUUUAGGUAGCGCCUCGUGAAUUCAUCUCCGGGGGUAGAGCACUGUUUCGGCUAGGGGGCCAUCCCGGCUUACCAACCCGAUGCAAACUGCGAAUACCGGAGAAUGUUAUCACGGGAGACACACGGCGGGUGCUAACGUCCGUCGUGAAGAGGGAAACAACCCAGACCGCCAGCUAAGGUCCCAAAGUCAUGGUUAAGUGGGAAACGAUGUGGGAAGGCCCAGACAGCCAGGAUGUUGGCUUAGAAGCAGCCAUCAUUUAAAGAAAGCGUAAUAGCUCACUGGUCGAGUCGGCCUGCGCGGAAGAUGUAACGGGGCUAAACCAUGCACCGAAGCUGCGGCAGCGACACUGUGUGUUGUUGGGUAGGGGAGCGUUCUGUAAGCCUGUGAAGGUGGCCUGUGAGGGUUGCUGGAGGUAUCAGAAGUGCGAAUGCUGACAUAAGUAACGAUAAAGCGGGUGAAAAGCCCGCUCGCCGGAAGACCAAGGGUUCCUGUCCAACGUUAAUCGGGGCAGGGUGAGUCGACCCCUAAGGCGAGGCCGAAAGGCGUAGUCGAUGGGAAACGGGUUAAUAUUCCCGUACUUGGUGUUACUGCGAAGGGGGGACGGAGAAGGCUAUGUUGGCCGGGCGACGGUUGUCCCGGUUUAAGCGUGUAGGUGUGUGUUCCAGGUAAAUCCGGUUCACUUUAACACUGAGGCGUGAUGACGAGGCACUACGGUGCUGAAGCAACAAAUGCCCUGCUUCCAGGAAAAGCCUCUAAGCAUCAGGUAACAUCAAAUCGUACCCCAAACCGACACAGGUGGUCAGGUAGAGAAUACCAAGGCGCUUGAGAGAACUCGGGUGAAGGAACUAGGCAAAAUGGUGCCGUAACUUCGGGAGAAGGCACGCUGACAUGUAGGUGAAGUGAUUUACUCAUGGAGCUGAAGUCAGUCGAAGAUACCAGCUGGCUGCAACUGUUUAUUAAAAACACAGCACUGUGCAAACACGAAAGUGGACGUAUACGGUGUGACGCCUGCCCGGUGCCGGAAGGUUAAUUGAUGGGGUCAGCGCAAGCGAAGCUCCUGAUCGAAGCCCCGGUAAACGGCGGCCGUAACUAUAACGGUCCUAAGGUAGCGAAAUUCCUUGUCGGGUAAGUUCCGACCUGCACGAAUGGCGUAAUGAUGGCCAGGCUGUCUCCACCCGAGACUCAGUGAAAUUGAACUCGCUGUGAAGAUGCAGUGUACCCGCGGCAAGACGGAAAGACCCCGUGAACCUUUACUAUAGCUUGACACUGAACAUUGAGCCUUGAUGUGUAGGAUAGGUGGGAGGCUUUGAAGCGUGGACGCCAGUCUGCGUGGAGCCGGCCUUGAAAUACCACCCUUUAAUGUUUGAUGUUCUAACGUGGACCCGUGAUCCGGGUUGCGGACAGUGUCUGGUGGGUAGUUUGACUGGGGCGGUCUCCUCCUAAAGAGUAACGGAGGAGCACGAAGGUUGGCUAAUCCUGGUCGGACAUCAGGAGGUUAGUGCAAUGGCAUAAGCCAGCUUGACUGCGAGCGUGACGGCGCGAGCAGGUGCGAAAGCAGGUCAUAGUGAUCCGGUGGUUCUGAAUGGAAGGGCCAUCGCUCAACGGAUAAAAGGUACUCCGGGGAUAACAGGCUGAUACCGCCCAAGAGUUCAUAUCGACGGCGGUGUUUGGCACCUCGAUGUCGGCUCAUCACAUCCUGGGGCUGAAGUAGGUCCCAAGGGUAUGGCUGUUCGCCAUUUAAAGUGGUACGCGAGCUGGGUUUAGAACGUCGUGAGACAGUUCGGUCCCUAUCUGCCGUGGGCGCUGGAGAACUGAGGGGGGCUGCUCCUAGUACGAGAGGACCGGAGUGGACGCAUCACUGGUGUUCGGGUUGUCAUGCCAAUGGCACUGCCCGGUAGCUAAAUGCGGAAGAGAUAAGUGCUGAAAGCAUCUAAGCACGAAACUUGCCCCGAGAUGAGUUCUCCCUGAGACUUAAAGUCUCCUGAAGGAACGUUGAAGACGACGACGUUGAUAGGCCGGGUGUGUAAGCGCAGCGAUGCGUUGAGCUAACCGGUACUAAUGAACCGUGAGGCUUAACCUU